Molecule: long non-coding RNA, 441 nt
Organism: Leptidea sinapis
Lineage: Eukaryota; Metazoa; Arthropoda; Insecta; Lepidoptera; Pieridae
Exons: 3
Source: RefSeq, a predicted model, not a curated record
AUUAAUUUUCUGUCACUAUGAAAUAUUUUAACUUAUAUUUUUGAAAUAAUAUAUAUUGUUAUACCUAUUAAUAUUACUGUUCGAAGGUUUUGAAGUAUCAUCAUGGAAUUAUGCCUUCAUAGGAGUACUUGCAAUCUUUUCGGUGGAUCAUUGAAUAAUAGAGGCAAAUCUACUCUUCCGUUGAAUGCUGACAUUGAAAUAGCCAGACCGGCAUGGCAAGAGGUGGUGGCAAAUCAUUCCAAAUACGGGAAGCCAUGAAUUUGAAACUGGAUCUAUAUCUUGUUGUCUUGUAGUAUGGUAUAUUUAAUAAGUUUUGAGAGGCAAAACGUGUACAUUUUAAAUUAGAACUUCCGCUCCAGGACAAUUUUUCAAAUAAAUAUUCAGGGCGCUUGCUAUAGAUUAUUCUCUUUAUACUACAGGCAUAAUGCAAUUCUCUCCUAG